GGCAGGGCAGUGGAGUAUAGUAAGAGACUGCAAAACAUGCUGCCUGUCCUGCUCAUCUGCCUCCUGCCUGUGGCCAGUGGAAAGAACUGCCUCCUCUGCUGGCCUGAACUGCCCGCCUUGAUAGACUAUGACCUCCAGAUCCUGUGGGGCACCCCGGGGCCCCCUGCAGAACUCUCCCAGAGCCUCCACUCCUUGUUCCUGGAGAAUAAUUUCCACGAACCCUGGUAUCUUGAUCGUGACCAUUUGGAAGAAGAAAUAGCCAAAUUCUUCACUCAAGUAGACCAAGCUAUUAAGAAGUUACGGGAUGAUAAACCAUUACUUCUAGAAGACAUUCACAUGCACAAGAGCCUCUUUGCUGAUAAGCUGAAUAGCAGAUCUGAGAGCCUCAGUUUCUUCACCAUCUCACCCUCCUGGGCAGCCUGCAACCAAUCUUGUGAUCUAAACUCCACAGUGGAGGUCACCGAAUGUACCAGCUGUAAGAUUCACUUCCUCUCCUGCAACGACCCCAUGUUCUGCCCAGCCAAGAAACCAAGGAUCUAUGAGUGGGCUGUGAGCCUCGGCAUUGCUCUGUUUCUGGCCAUAGCUGGAGGUGGAGGCUACUUCGUCUGGCGCAGGAAAAAGAUGAAGAAAAUAGAAGAGGUACUAGGAAAAGAGACCCCUGCCAGAGACCCUCUCCAGGAAGGAAAAGCUCAACCAGACCUCACCUAAUGCCAACACAAGAAACUAGAACAGGGGCCUGGAUCCCUGGGGCAGGGGGUCCCGGUCUCUGAGUGUGGAAGAGAGAAAGCAAAGUGUACCUGCAGGCCAGGGAAGACAAGAGAAUAACAGAAGACAUAAGAAAACAGGCUUAACCUCUCCUCAGCCCAGCCCCCCCACUGCUCAGAUGUCUCAGGAGCUGCAGCACCAGGGUCUUG
RNA transcript from Tupaia belangeri chinensis (Chinese tree shrew), 914 nucleotides. It is a transcript of the gene named testis expressed 51, with no coding region annotated. NCBI's taxonomy places the organism in Eukaryota, Metazoa, Chordata, Mammalia, Scandentia, Tupaiidae. The record is from RefSeq and is a predicted model, not a curated record. The transcript is spliced from 9 exons.